GACGAACGCUGGCGGCGUGCUUAACACAUGCAAGUCGAACGGAAAGGCCCUGCUUUUGUGGGGUGCUCGAGUGGCGAACGGGUGAGUAACACGUGAGUAACCUGCCCUUGACUUUGGGAUAACUUCAGGAAACUGGGGCUAAUACCGGAUAGGAGCUCCUGCUGCAUGGUGUGGGUUGGAAAGUUUCGGCGGUUGGGGAUGGACUCGCGGCUUAUCAGCUUGUUGGUGGGGUAGUGGCUUACCAAGGCUUUGACGGGUAGCCGGCCUGAGAGGGUGACCGGCCACAUUGGGACUGGGAUACGGCCCAGACUCCUACGGGAGGCAGCAGUGGGGAAUAUUGCACAAUGGGCGGAAGCCUGAUGCAGCAACGCCGCGUGCGGGAUGACGGCCUUCGGGUUGUAAACCGCUUUCGCCUGUGACGAAGCGUGAGUGACGGUAAUGGGUAAAGAAGCACCGGCUAACUACGU
Molecule: ribosomal RNA, 467 nt
Filed under: uncultured bacterium
Lineage: Bacteria
Description: partial 16S ribosomal RNA
Rfam family: Bacterial small subunit ribosomal RNA
Source: RNAcentral